Piliocolobus tephrosceles (Ugandan red Colobus) is the source of this 658-nucleotide long non-coding RNA. RefSeq lists it as uncharacterized. The record is from RefSeq and is a predicted model, not a curated record. Lineage: Eukaryota; Metazoa; Chordata; Mammalia; Primates; Cercopithecidae. The transcript has 2 exons.
AAGCUCUUCCUUGAAUUACCUAUAUUGCAACAGCAGUACCAUCAAAAUUGUGCACGAUUCAGAGGUUCUUAAACAUGGCUGCCCAUCAGAAUCACCAUUGUGCCUUUUAGGAAACACAGAUUCUCAGACAUUCACAGUCUCUAAUGGCCCCGGAUUUUCUGGGCAGUGCACAGGUAAUGGUAUUUUUUAAAAACAUUUCCCCCAAGGGAGGAUUCUGAUCAGUUAGGUUUGGGAUCCACUUUUUAAAAAUAACAUGUUUCUCUGUGACGGAGGAAAUUUAACUAUGAUUCAUGAAUUUGUUAUCUGUUUUUUUCUUCAGAGGAUAUCAGUUUAAGUGUUGUUUUUUAAACUGUAACUCUGAAGGCAAACAACUGGCAAGAAAGAGUUUUCUGGAAGAAUGCUGGCUCUGGAAGGCACUGGAAGGUUCUGGAAAAGCAAGGCCUCUGAGUCUCCACUGUCAAAAUGUGGCUGAUCAGACUUGAGGCAUCCUUCACCUCACCCUCAGAUUAUGGAAGGAAGUACUGGACAUCGAACGACUCCUUCCCAGCCACGUGGAUCAUGAAUGAGCUAAAAUUUCAAUCUUUUGUUCUCCACCGGCCAUUUUUUCCCGAACCCUUUAGGAUAGCCAGAAAAAAAUAAAUAAAUCUCUUCUUGGGAA